RNAcentral lists this ribosomal RNA (253 nucleotides) under uncultured bacterium. RNAcentral's name for it is "partial 16S ribosomal RNA". It matches the Rfam family "Bacterial small subunit ribosomal RNA", at positions 524 to 776 of the family's 1533-position model. The record is from RNAcentral.
UACGUAGGGGGCGAGCGUUGUCCGGAAUUAUUGGGCGUAAAGAGCGUGUAGGCUGUUCGGUAAGUCUGCCGUGAAAACCCAGGGCUCAACCCUGGGCGUGCGGUGGAUACUGCCGGGCUAGAGGGUGGUAGAGGCGAGUGGAAUUCCCGGUGUAGCGGUGAAAUGCGCAGAUAUCGGGAGGAACACCAGUAGCGAAGGCGGCUCGCUGGGCCAUACCUGACGCUGAGACGCGAAAGCGUGGGGAGCAAACAGG